CAGCCGCCGCGGUAAUACGAAGGGGGCUAGCGUUGCUCGGAAAUACUGGGCGUAAAGGGAGCGUAGGCGGGUCGUUUAGUCAGAGGUGAAAUCCCGGGGCUCAACCUCGGAACUGCCUUUGAUACUGGCGACCUUGAGUAUGGGAGAGGUAAGUGGAACUCCGAGUGUAGAGGUGAAAUUCGUAGAUAUUCGGAAGAACACCAGUGGCGAAGGCGACUUACUGGCCCAUUACUGACGCUGAGGCUCGAAAGCGUGGGGAGCAAACAGGAUUAGAUACCCCUGUAGUCCCUGUCUCUUAUAC
RNAcentral lists this ribosomal RNA (301 nucleotides) under uncultured bacterium. Its description in RNAcentral is "partial 16S ribosomal RNA". It matches the Rfam family "Bacterial small subunit ribosomal RNA", at positions 509 to 807 of the family's 1533-position model. The record is from RNAcentral.